RNAcentral lists this ribosomal RNA (1025 nucleotides) under uncultured organism. RNAcentral's name for it is "bacterial SSU rRNA". It matches the Rfam family "Bacterial small subunit ribosomal RNA", at positions 118 to 1178 of the family's 1533-position model. The record is from RNAcentral.
UAGGUGACUUGCCCCGAAGAUGGGGAUAACCUCUGGAAACGGGGGCUAAUACCCAAUGUGCUCGGUGAUUCGGUUGAUCGAGUAAAGCUCCGGCGCUUCGGGAGAGGCCUGCGGCCCAUCAGCUAGUUGGUAGGGUAACGGCCUACCAAGGCAGAGACGGGUAGGGGGCGUGAGAGCGCGGACCCCCACACUGGCACUGCGACACGGGCCAGACUCCUACGGGAGGCAGCAGUAAGGAAUAUUGCGCAAUGGACGAAAGUCAGACGCAGCGACGCCGCGCGGGCGAUGAAGGCCUUCGGGUUGUAAAGCCCUUUUAUGGGGGAAGAGAAAAAGGACGGUACCCCAUGAAUAAGUCCCGGCUAACUACGUGCCAGCAGCCGCGGUAAAACGUAGGGGACAAGCGUUAUCCGGAUUCACUGGGCGUAAAGAGCGUUGAGGCGGUUCCGUAAGUUGGGCGUGAAAGCUCCGGGCUUAACCCGGAGAUGUCGUUCAAUACUGCGGGGCUUGAGGACAGCAGAGGAAGGUGGAAUUCCCGGUGUAGUGGUGAAAUGCGUAGAUAUCGGGAGGAACACCCGUGGCGAAGGCGGCCUUCUGGGCUGUUCCUGACGCUGAAGGCGAAAGCUAGGGGAGCGAACGGGAUUAGAUACCCCGGUAGUCCUAGCUGUAAACGAUGGAUGCUGGGUGUGGGGGGUGUAAAUUCCCUCUGUGCCGAAGCAAACGCGUUAAGCAUCCCGCCUGGGGACUACGGCCGCAAGGCUAAAACUCAAACGAAUUGACGGGGGCCCGCACAAGCAGCGGAGCGUGUGGUUUAAUUCGAUGCUACACGAAGAACCUUACCUGGGUUUGACAUGCACGUGGUAGGGAACCGAAAGGGGACCGACCUUCGGGAGCGUGCACAGGUGCUGCAUGGCUGUCGUCAGCUCGUGCCGUGAGGUGUCGGGUUAAGUCCCGUAACGAGCGCAACCCUUGCCCUUAGUUACAAGUGUCUAAGGGGACUGCCCGGGACAACUGGGAGGAAGGUGGGG